AUCCAGACUCCUACGGGAGGCAGCAGUGAGGAAUAUUGGUCAAUGGGCGGGAGCCUGAACCAGCCAAGUCGCGUGAGGGAAGACGGUCCUACGGAUUGUAAACCUCUUUUGCCGGGGAGCAACGGGGUCCUUGCGAGGGCCCGAUGAGAGUACCCGGAGAAAAAGCAUCGGCUAACUCCGUGCCAGCAGCCGCGGUAAUACGGAGGAUGCGAGCGUUAUCCGGAUUUAUUGGGUUUAAAGGGUGCGUAGGGGGGGGUUUUAAGGCGGGGUCAAAGGGCGGGGCCCAACCCCCGGCCUGCCGUUGAAACUGGCGGCCUCGAGUGGGCGAGAAGUAUGCGGAAUGCGUGGUGUAGCGGUGAAAUGCAUAGAUAUCACGCAGAACUCCGAUUGCGAAGGCAGCAUACCGGCGCGCAACUGACGCUCAUGCACGAAAGCGUGGGUAUCGAACAGGAUUAGAUACCCCAGUA
Molecule: ribosomal RNA, 467 nt
Filed under: uncultured bacterium
Lineage: Bacteria
Description: bacterial SSU rRNA
Rfam family: Bacterial small subunit ribosomal RNA
Source: RNAcentral